CAGCCGCCACGGGAACACGUAGGGUGCGAGCGUUAAUCGGAAUUACUGGGCGUAAAGCGUGCGCAGGCGGUUAUAUAAGACAGAUGUGAAAUCCCCGGGCUCAACCUGGGACCUGCAUUUGUGACUGUAUAGCUAGAGUACAGUAGAGGGGGAUGGAAUUCCGCGUGUAGCAGUGAAAUGCGUAGAUAUGCGGAGGAACACCGAUGGCGAAGGCAAUCCCCUGGACCUGUACUGACGCUCAUGCACGAAAGCGUGGGGAGCAAACAGGAUUAGAUACCCCUGUAGUCCCUGUCUCUUAUAC
Molecule: ribosomal RNA, 301 nt
Filed under: uncultured bacterium
Lineage: Bacteria
Description: partial 16S ribosomal RNA
Rfam family: Bacterial small subunit ribosomal RNA
Source: RNAcentral